Non-coding RNA from Phascolarctos cinereus (koala), 272 nucleotides. Lineage: Eukaryota; Metazoa; Chordata; Mammalia; Diprotodontia; Phascolarctidae. The record is from RefSeq and is a predicted model, not a curated record.
UUCCUCAGGUAGAAUAACUUGUAGGUGUGUAUUUUACAAAAUCUUCUUCCUUUUUUCCAUUUCAAGAUGAGGAAACAGGGGCUCAGAGAAGUUAAGAAGGGUGCACAUGAUCACAUAAGUGCAUGUGAGGAUGGGUCUCUGACUUCUAAAUGACCAAUGAGGAGAGCACCUUCUUCUCCCCACUCCCCACUGAUUGGACUAGUGUAAAUGCUCAUACUGAAACUCUUACAGUUGGCUCAGCAAGAGUUCCUGGAGGCACUCCUCCCUGUGUG